CCUACGGGUGGCAGCAGUAGGGAAUAUUGCUCAAUGGGGGAAACCCUGACGCAGCAACGCCGCGUGGAGGAUGAAGGUUUUCGGAUUGUAAACUCCUUUUGUUAGAGAAGAUAAUGACGGUAUCUAACGAAUAAGCACCGGCUAACUCCGUGCCAGCAGCCGCGGUAAUACGGAGGGUGCAAGCGUUACUCGGAAUCACUGGGCGUAAAGAGCGCGUAGGCGGGAUAGCAAGUCAGAUGUGAAAUCCUAUGGCUUAACCAUAGAACUGCAUUUGAAACUGUGAGUCUAGAGUAUGGGAGAGGUAGGUGGAAUUCUUGGUGUAGGGGUGAAAUGCGUAGAGAUCGAGAGGAAGACUCAUGGCGAAGGCGACCUGCUAGAACAUAACUGACGCUGAGGCGCGAAAGCGUGGGGAGCAAACAGGAUUAGAUACCCCUGUAGUC
This 440-nucleotide ribosomal RNA is filed under the name uncultured bacterium. RNAcentral's name for it is "partial 16S ribosomal RNA". It matches the Rfam family "Bacterial small subunit ribosomal RNA", at positions 338 to 795 of the family's 1533-position model. The record is from RNAcentral.